Molecule: long non-coding RNA, 7905 nt
Organism: Salvelinus fontinalis (brook trout)
Lineage: Eukaryota; Metazoa; Chordata; Actinopteri; Salmoniformes; Salmonidae
Exons: 8
Source: RefSeq, a predicted model, not a curated record
CUGUUAGACACAUCAGAGUUCCCAGGUCAUCCUCUUAGACACAUCAGCGUUCCCAGGUCAUCUAUCCUCUUAGACACAUCAGCGUUCCCAGGUCAUCCAUCCUCUUAGACACAUCAGCGUUCCCAGGUCAUCCUUCCUCUUAGACACAUCAGUGUUCCCAGGUCAUCUAUCCUGUUAGACACAUCAGCGUUCCCAGGUCAUCCAUCCUGUUAGACACAUCAGCGUUCCCAGGUCAUCUAUCCUGUUAGACACAUCAGCGUUCCCAGGUCAUCCUGUUAGACACAUCAGCGUUCCCAGGUCAUCUAUCCUGUUAGACACAUCAGCGUUCCCAGGUCAUCCUUCCUGUUGGACACAUCAGCGUUCCCAGGUCAUCUAUCCUGUUAGACACAUCAGCGUUCCCAGGUCCUCCUUCCUCUUAGACACAUCAGCGUUCCCAGGUCAUCCUGUUAGACACAUCAGCAUUCCCAGGUCAUCCUGUUAGACACAUCAGCGUUCCCAGGUCAUCUAUCCUGUUAGACAUAUCAGCGUUCCCAGGUCAUCCUUCCUCUUAGACACAUCAGCGUUCCCAGGUCAUCCUUCCUCUUAGACACAUCAGCGUUCCCAGGUCAUCCUUCCUCUUAGACACAUCAGCGUUCCCAGGUCAUCCUUCCUCUUAGACACAUCAGCGUUCCCAGGUCAUCCUUCCUCUUAGACACAUCAGCGUUCCCAGGUCAUCUAUCCUGUUAGACACAUCAGCGUUCCCAGGUCAUCCAUCCUGUUAGACACAUCAGCGUUCCCAGGUCAUCCUUCCUCUUAGACACAUCAGUGUUCCCAGGUCAUCCUGUUAGACACAUCAGCGUUCCCAGGUCAUCCAUCCUGUUAGACACAUCAGCGUUCCCAGGUCAUCUAUCCUGUUAGACACAUCAGCGUUCCCAGGUCAUCUAUCCUGUUAGACACAUCAGCGUUCCCAGGUCAUCUAUCCUGUUAGACACAUCAGCGUUCCCAGGUCAUCCUCUUAGACACAUCAGCGUUCCCAGGUCAUCCUUCCUCUUAGGCACAUCAGCGUUCCCAGGUCAUCUAUCCUGUUAGACACAUCAGCGUUCCCAGGUCAUCCUUCCUCUUAGACACAUCAGCGUUCCCAGGUCAUCCAUCCUCUUAGACACAUCAGCGUUCCCAGGUCAUCCUCUUAGAAACAUCAGCGUUCCCAGGUCAUCUAUCCUGUUAGACACAUCAGCGUUCCCAGGUCAUCUAUCCUCUUAGACACAUCAGCGUUCCCAGGUCAUCCUUCCUCUUAGACACAUCAGCGUUCCCAGGUCAUCUAUCCUGUUAGACACAUCAGCGUUCCCAGGUCAUCCUUCCUGUUAGACACAUCAGCGUUCCCAGGUCAUCCAUCCUCUUAGACACAUCAGCGUUCCCAGGUCAUCUAUCCUCUUAGACACAUCAGCGUUCCCAGGUCAUCCUUCCUCUUAGACAUAUCAGCGUUCCCAGGUCAUCCUCUUAGAAACAUCAGCGUUCCCAGGUCAUCUAUUUUGUUAGACACAUCAGCGUUCCCAGGUCAUCCAUCCUCUUAGACAUAUCAGCGUUCCCAGGUCAUCCUUCCUCUUAGACACAUCAGCGUUCCCAGGUCAUCCUGUUAGACACAUCAGCUUUCCCAGGUCAUCCUUCCUCUUAGACACAUCAGCGUUCCCAGGUCAUCCAUCCUGUUAGACACAUCAGCGUUCCCAGGUCAUCCUUCCUCUUAGACACAUCAGCGUUCCCAGGUCAUCCUUCCUCUUAGACACAUCAGUGUUCCCAGGUCAUCCUGUUAGACACAUCAGCGUUCCCAGGUCAUCCAUCCUGUUAGACACAUCAGCGUUCCCAGGUCAUCUAUCCUGUUAGACACAUCAGCGUUCCCAGGUCAUCUAUCCUGUUAGACACAUCAGCGUUCCCAGGUCAUCUAUCCUGUUAGACACAUCAGCGUUCCCAGGUCAUCCUCUUAGACACAUCAGCGUUCCCAGGUCAUCCUUCCUCUUAGACACAUCAGCGUUCCCAGGUCAUCUAUCCUGUUAGACACAUCAGCGUUCCCAGGUCAUCCUUCCUCUUAGACACAUCAGCGUUCCCAGGUCAUCCAUCCUCUUAGACACAUCAGCGUUCCCAGGUCAUCCUCUUAGAAACAUCAGCGUUCCCAGGUCAUCUAUCCUGUUAGACACAUCAGCGUUCCCAGGUCAUCUAUCCUCUUAGACACAUCAGCGUUCCCAGGUCAUCCUUCCUCUUAGACACAUCAGCGUUCCCAGGUCAUCUAUCCUGUUAGACACAUCAGCGUUCCCAGGUCAUCCUUCCUGUUAGACACAUCAGCGUUCCCAGGUCAUCCAUCCUCUUAGACACAUCAGCGUUCCCAGGUCAUCUAUCCUCUUAGACACAUCAGCGUUCCCAGGUCAUCCUGUUAGACACAUCAGCGUUCCCAGGUCAUCCUUCCUGUUAGACACAUCAGCGUUCCCAGGUCAUCCAUCUUAGACACAUCAGCGUUCCCAGGUCAUCUAUCCUCUUAGACACAUCAGCGUUCCCAGGUCAUCCUGUUAGACACAUCAGCGUUCCCAGGUCAUCCUGUUAGACACAUCAGCGUUCCCAGGUCAUCUAUCCUCUUAGACACAUCAGCGUUCCCAGGUCAUCCUUCCUCUUAGACACAUCAGCGUUCCCAGGUCAUCCUGUUAGACACAUCAGCGUUCCCAGGUCAUCCUGUUAGACACAUCAGCGUUCCCAGGUCAUCCUGUUAGACACAUCAGCGUUCCCAGGUCAUCCUUCCUGUUAGACACAUCAGCGUUCCCAGGUCAUCCUUCCUCUUAGACACAUCAGCGUUCCCAGGUCAUCCUUCCUCUUAGACACAUCAGCGUUCCCAGGUCAUCCUCUUAGACACAUCAGCGUUCCCAGGUCAUCCAUCCUCUUAGACACAUCAGCGUUCCCAGGUCAUCCUCUUAGACACAUCAGCGUUCCCAGGUCAUCCUUCCUCUUAGACACAUCAGCGUUCCCAGGUCAUCCUGUUAGACACAUCAGCUUUCCCAGGUCAUCCUUCCUCUUAGACACAUCAGCGUUCCCAGGUCAUCCAUCCUGUUAGACACAUCAGCGUUCCCAGGUCAUCCAUCCUGUUAGACACAUCAGCGUUCCCAGGUCAUCCUUCCUCUUAGACACAUCAGCGUUCCCAGGUCAUCCUUCCUCUUAGACACAUCAGCGUUCCCAGGUCAUCUAUCCUGUUAGACACAUCAGCGUUCCCAGGUCAUCCUUCCUCUUAGACAUAUCAGCGUUCCCAGGUCAUCCUCUUAGAAACAUCAGCGUUCCCAGGUCAUCUAUUUUGUUAGACACAUCAGCGUUCCCAGGUCAUCCAUCCUCUUAGACAUAUCAGCGUUCCCAGGUCAUCCUUCCUCUUAGACACAUCAGCGUUCCCAGGUCAUCUAUCCUGUUAGACACAUCAGCGUUCCCAGGUCAUCCUUCCUCUUAGACACAUCAGCGUUCCCAGGUCAUCCUUCCUGUUAGACACAUCAGCAUUCCCAGGUCAUCCUCUUAGACACAUCAGCGUUCCCAGGUCAUCCUGUUAGACACAUCAGCGUUCCCAGGUCAUCCUGUUAGACACAUCAGCGUUCCCUAGUCAUCCUUCCUCUUAGACACAUCAGCGUUCCCAGGUCAUCCUUCCUCUUAGACACAUCAGCAUUCCCAGGUCAUCCUGUUAGACACAUCAGUGUUCCCAGGUCAUCCUGUUAGACACAUCAGCGUUCCCAGGUCAUCCUUCCUCUUAGACACAUCAGCGUUCCCAGGUCAUCCUCUUAGACACAUCAGCGUUCCCAGGUCAUCCUCUUAGACACAUCAGCGUUCCCAGGUCAUCCAUCCUCUUAGACACAUCAGCGUUCCCAGGUCAUCCUUCCUCUUAGACAUAUCAGCAUUCCCAGGUCAUCCUGUUAGACACAUCAGUGUUCCCAGGUCAUCCUCUUAGACACAUCAGCGUUCCCAGGUCAUCCUUCCUCUUAGACACAUCAGCGUUCCCAGGUCAUCCUCUUAGAAACAUCAGCGUUCCCAGGUCAUCCAUCCUCUUAGACACAUCAGCGUUCCCAGGUCAUCCUUCCUCUUAGACACAUCAGCGUUCCCAGGUCAUCUAUCCUGUUAGACACAUCAGCGUUCCCAGGUCAUCCUUCCUCUUAGACACAUCAGCGUUCCCAGGUCAUCCAUCCUCUUAGACACAUCAGCGUUCCCAGGUCAUCCUGUUAGACACAUCAGCGUUCCCAGGUCAUCCUUCCUCUUAGACACAUCAGCGUUCCCAGGUCAUCCAUCCUCUUAAACACAUCAGCGUUCCCAGGUCAUCCAUCCUGUUAAACACAUCAGCGUUCCCAGGUCAUCCUUCCUCUUAGACACAUCAGCGUUCCCAGGUCAUCCUUCCUCUUAGACACAUCAGCGUUCCCAGGUCAUCCUGUUAGACACAUCAGCGUUCCCAGGUCAUCCUGUUAGACAUAUCAGCGUUCCCAGGUCAUCCUUCCUGUUAGACACAUCAGCGUUCCCAGGUCAUCCUGUUAGACACAUCAGCGUUCCCAGGUCAUCCAUCCUGUUAGACACAUUAGUGUUCCCAGGUCAUCCUUCCUGUUAGACACAUCAGCGUUCCCAGGUCAUCCUGUUAGACACAUCAGCGUUCCCAGGUCAUCCUGUUAGACACAUCAGCGUUCCCAGGUCAUCCUUCCUCUUAGACACACCAGCGUUCCCAGGUCAUCCUUCCUCUUAGACACAUCAGCGUUCCCAGGUCAUCCAUCCUCUUAGACACAUCAGCGUUCCCAGGUCAUCCUCUUAGAAACAUCAGCGUUCCCAGGUCAUCCUUCCGCUUAGACACAUCAGCGUUCCCAGGUCAUCCUCUUAGAAACAUCAGCGUUCCCAGGUCAUCCUUCCUCUUAGACACAUCAGCGUUCCCAGGUCAUCCUCUUAGAAACAUCAGCGUUCCCAGGUCAUCCAUCCUCUUAGACACAUCAGCGUUCCCAGGUCAUCCUUCCUCUUAGACACAUCAGCGUUCCCAGGUCAUCUAUCCUGUUAGACACAUCAGCGUUCCCAGGUCAUCCUUCCUCUUAGACACAUCAGCGUUCCCAGGUCAUCCUUCCUGUUAGACACAUCAGCAUUCCCAGGUCAUCCUCUUAGACACAUCAGCGUUCCCAGGUCAUCCUGUUAGACACAUCAGCGUUCCCAGGUCAUCCUGUUAGACACAUCAGCGUUCCCAGGUCAUCCUGUUAGACACAUCAGCGUUCCCAGGUCAUCCUUCCUCUUAGACACAUCAGCGUUCCCAGGUCAUCCUUCCUCUUAGACACAUCAGCAUUCCCAGGUCAUCCUGUUAGACACAUCAGUGUUCCCAGGUCAUCCUGUUAGACACAUCAGCGUUCCCAGGUCAUCCUUCCUCUUAGACAUAUCAGCGUUCCCAGGUCAUCCUUCCUGUUAGACACAUCAGCGUUCCCAGGUCAUCCUGUUAGACACAUCAGCGUUCCCAGGUCAUCCUUCCUCUUAGACACAUCAGCGUUCCCAGGUCAUCCUUCCUCUUAGACAUAUCAGUGUUCCCAGGUCAUCCUUCCUCUUAGACACAUCAGCGUUCCCAGGUCAUCCUCUUAGACACAUCAGCGUUCCCAGGUCAUCCAUCCUGUUAGACACAUCAGUGUUCCCAGGUCAUCCUUCCUCUUAGACACAUCAGCGUUCCCAGGUCAUCCUUCCUCUUAGACAUAUCAGUGUUCCCAGGUCAUCCUUCCUCUUAGACACAUCAGCGUUCCCAGGUCAUCCUUCCUCUUAGACACAUCAGCGUUCCCAGGUCAUCCAUCCUGUUAAACACAUCAGCGUUCCCAGGUCAUCCAUCCUGUUAGACACAUCAGCGUUCCCAGGUCAUCUAUCCUCUUAGACACAUCAGCGUUCCCAGGUCAUCCUGUUAGACACAUCUGCGUUCCCAGGUCAUCCUGUUAGACACAUCAGCGUUCCCAGGUCAUCCAUCCUGUUAAACACAUCAGCAUUCCCAGGUCAUCCUUCCUGUUAGACAUAUCAGCGUUCCCAGGUCAUCCUUCCUCUUAGACACAUCAGCGUUCCCAGGUCAUCCUUCCUCUUAGACACAUCAGCAUUCCCAGGUCAUCCUUCCUCUUAGACACAUCAGCGUUCCCAGGUCAUCCUUCCUCUUAGACACAUCAGCGUUCCCAGGUCAUCCUUCCUCUUAGACACACCAGCGUUCCCAGGUCAUCCUGUUAGACACAUCAGCGUUCCCAGGUCAUCCAUCCUGUUAAACACAUCAGCGUUCCCAGGUCAUCCAUCCUGUUAAACACAUCAGCGUUCCCAGGUCAUCCUUCCUCUUAGACACAUCAGCGUUCCCAGGUCAUCCUUCCUCUUAGACACAUCAGCGUUCCCAGGUCAUCCAUCCUGUUAAACACAUCAGCGUUCCCAGGUCAUCCAUCCUGUUAAACACAUCAGCGUUCCCAGGUCAUCCAUCCUGUUAGACACAUCAGCGUUCCCAGGUCAUCCUUCCUCUUAGACACAUCAGCGUUCCCAGGUCAUCUAUCCUCUUAGACACAUCAGCGUUCCCAGGUCAUCCUCUUAGACACAUCAGCGUUCCCAGGUCAUCCUGUUAGACACAUCAGCGUUCCCAGGUCAUCCUCUUAGACACACCAGCGUUCCCAGGUCAUCCUGUUAGACACAUCAGCGUUCCCAGGUCAUCCAUCCUGUUAAACACAUCAGCGUUCCCAGGUCAUCCAUCCUGUUAGACACAUCAGCGUUCCCAGGUCAUCCUUCCUCUUAGACACAUCAGCGUUCCCAGGUCAUCUAUCCUCUUAGACACAUCAGCGUUCCCAGGUCAUCCUCUUAGACACAUCAGCGUUCCCAGGUCAUCCUCUUAGACACAUCAGCGUUCCCAGGUCAUCCUUCCUCUUAGACACAUCAGCGUUCCCAGGUCAUCUAUCCUCUUAGACACAUCAGCGUUCCCAGGUCAUCCUCUUAGACACAUCAGCGUUCCCAGGUCAUCUAUCCUCUUAGACACAUCAGCGUUCCCAGGUCAUCCAUCUUAGACACAUCAGCGUUCCCAGGUCAUCCUUCCUCUUAGACACAUCAGCGUUCCCAGGUCAUCUAUCCUCUUAGACACAUCAGCGUUCCCAGGUCAUCCUCUUAGACACAUCAGCGUUCCCAGGUCAUCCUGUUAGACACAUCAGCGUUCCCAGGUCAUCUAUCUUGGACACAUCAGCGUUCCCAGGUCAUCCAUCUUAGACAUUGAUCGUACUUGAGAGGAAUGAAUUUACAUGGUUGAGGACAGAAUUGUUGGGAUUAAACUACAAUGACAACGAAGAUUACUACUGAUGCUACUUUUGUUGGUGUGGUGUAACAGCUACUAAUGUCACUAUUAACUAUUGUUUUGGGCAGUUUGUACUACUGUUUGAAAAUGUGACUGUUUAAUUGGGGCGAGCCAUUGGAACUACAGUAUUAUGGACGUCUGGUUUGAUCUAACAGUUACUAACUAUCCUGAGUCGCCGACAACUGCUUGGUCUUCAUACGGAUUUAAGAGAAGUGGACUAACGAUGUACACAGCUUUGUAUACAGGAUCAGCACACACACUGGCUUUAUCAAAAAAGAUUUUGCACACAGUGCCUCUCCUCCAAUCCUGCAACCCCCCCCAGCCUCCACUUCCUACUCCACCAUGGCCACUCCUCUUCUAACCCCCCCUCCCUUACGUCCUACUCCACCAUGGCCCCUCCUCUUCUAACCCCCCCUCCCUUACGUCCUACUCCACCAUGGCCCCUCCUCUUCUAACCCCCCCUCCCUUACGUCCUACUCCACCAUGGCCCCUCCUCUUCUAACCCCCCCUCCCUUACGUCCUACUCCACCAUGGCCCCUCCUCUUCUAACCCCCCCUCCCUUACGUCCUACUCCACCAUGGCCCCUCCUCUUCUAACCCCCCCCCCCCCUUACG